Molecule: ribosomal RNA, 254 nt
Filed under: uncultured bacterium
Lineage: Bacteria
Description: partial 16S ribosomal RNA
Rfam family: Bacterial small subunit ribosomal RNA
Source: RNAcentral
UACGAAGGGGGCUAGCGUUGCUCGGAAUCACUGGGCGUAAAGGGUGCGUAGGCGGGUCUUUAAGUCAGGGGUGAAAUCCUGGAGCUCAACUCCAGAACUGCCUUUGAUACUGAAGAUCUUGAGUUCGGGAGAGGUGAGUGGAACUGCGAGUGUAGAGGUGAAAUUCGUAGAUAUUCGGAAGAACACCAGUGGCGAAGGCGGCUAACUGGCCCAUUACUGACGCUGAGGCUCGAAAGCGUGGGAAGCAAACAGGG